Molecule: long non-coding RNA, 343 nt
Filed under: Gossypium raimondii (Peruvian cotton)
Lineage: Eukaryota; Viridiplantae; Streptophyta; Magnoliopsida; Malvales; Malvaceae
Description: long non-coding RNA (GRAI_LNC000624)
Source: RNAcentral
UCAUUUAUGUACAUAAUAUCGACACAACCUCAGGGAACUAGAGUCUCAUUUUACAUAUCAUUAUUCAAUCUAAAUAAUCAUUGUAAUAGGCCAAUUUUGGCCUAGGCCCAAAUCACAAUCACAAAACUAAACCUAAAACUAAAAUAAAAAUAAUUAAAUAAUCUAAAGUCCAAAUGUCCAUUUACAAACAGCUCAAUUUACCAGGCCUUUGACCCAAAAUAAAAAAAAAACCCUAGUGGCCCAAUAUGGCCCCAAAACUAAACAUUUUCAAAAAAAAAAAAAGAGACAGAAACCCUAGCCUUCAGCGCCACACAUCAACAUGCCCACCGCCACUGCCCCCUCC